This 262-nucleotide long non-coding RNA is filed under the name Manihot esculenta (cassava). RNAcentral's name for it is "long non-coding RNA (MESC_LNC007600)". Lineage: Eukaryota; Viridiplantae; Streptophyta; Magnoliopsida; Malpighiales; Euphorbiaceae. The record is from RNAcentral.
UCGCAAAAGCCUACCAAUCAACAUCCCUAUUCAUAAGUAUUUUCUUUCUUUCAUGUUAUAAUUAAUUUGCUUAUAUAAGCAACCUCAAAGUAUAUAUGCGUUUUUCAUAUAUUUCAUUAAAAAGAAAAACAUAAAUAGCAACUCAUCAAUCACGUAGAAGCCUCUUUCUGGAGGGUCCCUAUGAACAAUCAUUCCACUUGGCUUGAUUAUUUCAUUCCUUUUUUGCUUCUUUCUGAGACUUCAUCUUCCUCUUCCUCAAAUU